Long non-coding RNA from Oncorhynchus tshawytscha (Chinook salmon), 538 nucleotides. Lineage: Eukaryota; Metazoa; Chordata; Actinopteri; Salmoniformes; Salmonidae. The record is from Ensembl.
UGUGUGUGUGUGUGUGUGUGUGUGUACCUCAAUAACAUUCUUGCCAGGAUGGUUGGCAGCGAUGAGUUUAUCUCCAUCAUCAUUCAGCUUGGUGACAGUGGCCUCCUUGGACUCCAGACACUUACUGAUGAAGUUCUGGUGGGAGAUUUAAAAGAGAUACAAGUCUCUCUUCACGUUCCAACACACGUAACGUGUAGGAUCAGGUGUCAGAUAACGUGUAGGAUCAGGUGUCAGAUAACGUGUAGGAUCAGGUGUCAGAUAACGUGUAGGAUCAGGUGUCAGAUAACAUGUAGGAUCAGGUGUCAGAUAACAUGUAGGAUCAGGUGUCACGUAACGUGUAGGAUCAGGUGUCAGAUAACAUGUAGGAUCAGGUGUCACGUAUCGUGUAGGAUCAGGUGUCAGAUAACGUGUAGGAUCAGGUGUCAGAUAACAUGUAGGAUCAGGUGUCAGAUAACAUGUAGGAUCAGGUGUCAGAUAACGUGUAGGAUCAGGUGUCACGUAACGUGUAGGAUCAGGUGUCAGAUAACAUGUAGGAUCA